Molecule: ribosomal RNA, 115 nt
Filed under: Caerostris extrusa
Lineage: Eukaryota; Metazoa; Arthropoda; Arachnida; Araneae; Araneidae
Source: RNAcentral
AACGGCCAUACCACAUGCUGAAUAUACCUGUUCUCGUUAGAUCACCGAAGUCAAUCAUCAUGGGGGCGCGGUCAGUACUUGGGAGGGUGACCAUCUGGGAACACCGCGUGCCGUU